AGCUACAUCCGUCACCUGACACGGCCCUACCAGGAACAGCCGCGCUCCCGCGGAUUCUGGUGCUGCUCGCGUCCCCGCUCCCCUAUUCCCCUUAUUUUAUUCCUGGCUCCCCUCGUCGAAAGUCUUCCAUUCUUCAAACUAGAUUAUUUAAAAAUGAAAAAGGAAGAAAGGAAAGCGAGGUCAUCUCAUUGCUCUAUCCGCCAAUCAGGAGGCUGAAUGUCAGUUUUGAACUAAAAGCCGCUCCGCUCCUCUUCUAGAUUUGGAAAACAAGCGAAAUUAAACUAAACCGCUGCACGCCUCUGACGCGACAUCUGGACACGGCGCGGCGCUGGCGCUGCCGGAGCUGUCGACCCGGCCUGGCGCCGGACUAGUGUCCCUUUUGAUGAGAAGAAUAAGCCUCAUUCUGAUUCAACAGCAGAGAUCAAAGAAAAGACUUCUGUUUUCUGGCCACCAGAUAUAUGUUAUCUGUGCUUAAAGAAUUGAAAAACACACAUCAAAGGAGAAUUUUCUUGGAAAGAGAGGGUUCAAGCAUCACUGUUAGGUGUGCUGGAAUCCUUUCCCGAGUCAGUACUGCUUUCUAGAAGAAAACCGGGGAGAUCUAUUUGGAAUGUAUCUAACUCCAAAGAAACCAUCAGAGGUAACAGGUUAGGAAAUUGAAAUACAGAAAGAUGAAAAGUGAUUUGCCCAAGCAUAUAGAUCAAAGCUGUGGCAGAACCAGGACUGGAACCUAUAUCUCUCUACUAAUGGUUUUUUUAAAAAAAUAACCUUGUUUCAAAAAUAUUAAAAAGUCACAAGAAAGGUAAACAUGUGGAUAAACAAAAUGAAGAAAAUAAAAAUUAUCCAGUAAUAACAUAUUGGCAUAUGUCUUUCUGGUAUAUUUUCCUGUGUUGUCAUCAUUAUCAUCUCCAUCAUCAUUAUAUCCAUCAUUAUCAUCAUCAUCAUCAUCAUCAUCAUCAUUAUCAUCACCAUAGUGAACAUGUAAUGCUUACCUAGUGCCAGAUGCUGUCUAGGCAUUUUACAUGUGUUACUGGUAACUCAUGUAAUCCUCAUAACAACCUUAUAAGGUGGUUGCUAUUAUCCCCAUGUUACAUAUGAAGAGACAGAAGCAUAAAGAAGUUGCACCGCUGGUAAUUGGCUGGGAUUUGAACUUAAGCAGUCUAACCUUAGAGUAAUGAUUUUAACAACUAUGCUAUAUACAUACAAAUUUACAAAAUAAAACUGGGCUCAGACAAUAAAAA
Molecule: long non-coding RNA, 1238 nt
Filed under: Homo sapiens (human)
Lineage: Eukaryota; Metazoa; Chordata; Mammalia; Primates; Hominidae
Description: non-protein coding CDKN2B-AS1:74
Rfam family: CDKN2B antisense RNA 1 convserved region 3 (bases 379-522)
Source: RNAcentral